UACGUAGGGGACAAGCGUUAUCCGGAAUUACUGGGCGUAAAGCGUGCGCAGGCGGCUUUGUAAGCCAGAUGUGAAAGCCCCGGGCUCAACCUGGGAACUGCAUUUGGGACUGCAAGGCUGGAGUACGGCAGAGGGAGGUGGAAUUCCACGUGUAGCAGUGAAAUGCGUAGAGAUGUGGAGGAACACCGAUGGCGAAGGCAGCCUCCUGGGCUAGUACUGACGCUCAUGCACGAAAGCGUGGGGAGCAAACAGG
RNAcentral lists this ribosomal RNA (253 nucleotides) under uncultured bacterium. RNAcentral describes it as "partial 16S ribosomal RNA". It matches the Rfam family "Bacterial small subunit ribosomal RNA", at positions 524 to 776 of the family's 1533-position model. The record is from RNAcentral.